This 153-nucleotide small nuclear RNA is filed under the name Vulpes vulpes (red fox). Its description in RNAcentral is "U1 spliceosomal RNA (ENSVVUG00000025758.1)". Lineage: Eukaryota; Metazoa; Chordata; Mammalia; Carnivora; Canidae. The record is from RNAcentral.
AUACUUACCUGACAGGGGAAAUACCAUGAUCAUGAAGGUGGUAUUCUCAGGGUAAUAGAGGCUUAUCAAUUACACUCUGUUUGUGCAGAAGUGCUAGUUAAUACAAUCAGACAAAAUUAGGGGAGGGUGUGCAUAAGGUAGAUUUUUCUGGUU